Long non-coding RNA from Megalobrama amblycephala (Wuchang bream), 453 nucleotides. RefSeq lists it as uncharacterized. Lineage: Eukaryota; Metazoa; Chordata; Actinopteri; Cypriniformes; Xenocyprididae. The record is from RefSeq and is a predicted model, not a curated record. The transcript is spliced from 3 exons.
AACUUCAUGUUCUGGACUGAACAUCACCUCCACUCCUCGUGUAUCAGACUGUGUUCUCUGCUGGACGCUGCUGUUCAGUGUGUGUCCGGUGUGUGUUCUUCUCUCCUCGAUCUGUGUGUACUGCCUCUGUCAAAGGAAAACUACAGAUUCUGAGCAGAUUGCAGAGAUACUCACCGCAAAUGUUAUUAAGGGGGAUCCUACAGUGAAACAUCAGUGUGAGACGAGAAAAACUGGAAAGAUCUGCCUCCACACUGAAGUCUCUUAUAGACUGCUGACAUCUUCAUAUCCCUAUGCCAAGAUGUGAUUCUACUGCUCAGUUUAAGCAACGUACUGAAAACUUCCUGCUUUCUAUUGCUCUCUUUUUGUACUCAACAACAUCAGUUAUGAUUUCUGAACUUGCUUUUUUUCAAGCCUGCUUUAACCACAUUUACACAUGCACACAUCCAACUAACU